GAUCCUGGCUCAGGAUGAACGCUGGCGGCGUGCCUAACACAUGCAAGUCGAACGAGGUAUUUUGUAUUGAAGUUUUCGGUAUGGAUUUCAAGAUACCGAGUGGCGGACGGGUGAGUAACGCGUGGGUAACCUGCCUCAUACAGGGGGAUAACGGUUAGAAAUGACUGCUAAUACCGCAUAAGCGCACAGUACCGCAUGGUACGGUGUGAAAAACUCCGGUGGUAUGAGAUGGACCCGCGUCUGAUUAG
Molecule: ribosomal RNA, 248 nt
Filed under: uncultured bacterium
Lineage: Bacteria
Description: partial 16S ribosomal RNA
Rfam family: Bacterial small subunit ribosomal RNA
Source: RNAcentral